AAUCAACGUUGGCGGCGCGCUUAACACAUGCAAGUCGAACGAGAAAGUGGAGCAAUCCAUGAGUAAAGUGGCGUACGGGUGAGUAACACGUGGGUAUCCAUUCUUUGGUGGGGAAUAACUUUGGGAAACCGAAGCUAAUACCGCAUAAGUCCGAGAGGAGAAAGGUGAAAAUCGCCGAAGAGGGAGCCCGCGGCUGAUUAGCUAGUUGGUGAGGUAACGGCCCACCAAGGCGAAGAUCGGUAGCCGGCCUGAGAGGGCACACGGCCACACUGGCACUGAGACACGGGCCAGACUCCUACGGGAGGCAGCAGUGGGGAAUCUUGCACAAUGGGGGAAACCCUGAUGCAGCGACGCCGCGUGAACGAUGAAGCCCUUCGGGUGUAAAGUUCUUUCGG
This 395-nucleotide ribosomal RNA is filed under the name uncultured bacterium. RNAcentral's name for it is "bacterial SSU rRNA". It matches the Rfam family "Bacterial small subunit ribosomal RNA", at positions 32 to 439 of the family's 1533-position model. The record is from RNAcentral.